RNAcentral lists this long non-coding RNA (6016 nucleotides) under Sus scrofa (pig). RNAcentral describes it as "lncRNA (ENSSSCG00055010784.1)". The record is from RNAcentral. Lineage: Eukaryota; Metazoa; Chordata; Mammalia; Artiodactyla; Suidae.
UUUCUUUUUUUUUUUUUUUUUUUUUUUUUGGCCUACUUGCAGCAUAUGAAGUUUCUGGACUGGGAAUCAGAUCUGAGCCACAGUUGGGACCUAUGCCAUAGCUCCGGCAAUGUGGAUCCUUUAACCUACUGUGGGGUCUGGGGAUUGAACCUGUGUUCUGGUGUCACCGAGAUGCCACCCUUCCCAUUGCACCAAAGCAGGAACUCCAUCAUUUCUGUGUUUUAAAACUUUUGUCAUGGGAGUUCCCAUGGUGGCUCAGCAGUUAACGAACCCAACUAGUAUCCAUGAAGAUGCAGGUUUGAUCCCUGGGCUCGCUCAGUGGUUAAGGAUCUGGCAUUGCCAUGAGCUGUGGUGCAGGCCAGCGGCUACAGCUCUGAUUUGACCCUAGCCUGGGAACCUCCAUAUGCCACGGGUGCAGCACUAAAACAAAAAAAACAAAAAAAAAACUUUUGUCAUGUUCUUACAUGAGAGUACCUCCUUAGUUGCUAUUUUACUUCCAGCAUUUUUAUUUGUUUUUUUAAAAUGUCUUACUGACCAGUUGUAGAACAUUCCUAAAUAUGUAGUUAAGUAAAGGAAAUAUUUAACCUUUUUUGUUUUGUUUUGUUUUGCUUUGCUUUUUAGGGUUGCACUCAUGGCAAUAUGGAAGUUCCCAAGCUAGGGGUUGAAUCAGAGCUCCAGCUGUCAGCCUACACCACAGCUACAGCAACACCAGAACCCAGCCACGUCUGUGACCUACACCACAGCUCACAACAAUGCCAGAUCGUUUACCCACUGAGUAAGGCCAGGGAUCAAACCGGCAUCCUCAUGGAUCCUAGUCAGUUUCCUUAACUGCUGAGCCACAAAGGGAACUCCAGGAAAUAUUUAACCUUUUUAAAUGAAGUUCACUUAUGUCUCUAUCUUGCCAAGACUUGUAUGAAUGGGGACUAAGGUGGCAAAGAUGGGGAGACUUUAAAUUGCAACUAUUUGCAUUGUGUUUCAUUGCUACUAAAGUAUCCACUUUAAUCAGUGCACAUGGGUUGAUGGUUUGGAGGGUGUUUUCUGGAGCUUCUUGAGGCAGAGAAAAGUAGCACAGGCCCUUUUAAAAUGACGUUUCAACCUGUUUUCUCACGGGCUUCAUGUCAUAAUAAAUCAUAGAGGAGCAAGGCUAAGGUUUCUUAGCACUGCAGCUAAACUAGGUCUAGGUACUUCAGAGUCUUGAACCUGGACUCUAGGAUCCAAAAAGAAAAUGCAUGUCAGGCACUUCUGUCAGUUGCUAAGCAUGAUGCAAACUUAAAAUGUUCCUGUUAGUUGUCACCCCAAAAAUCAGAACAUGCAUCAUUUUAUCAGAUGACGAUGAAAGAGGGUGUAAAUGCAGAAGGCAAAAGCCAUGCAGGAGAAAAUUGCUGAGAAAAAAGUUCCUUAAAUUUUUUUUUGGAGGAAAGAGGUAUUUAUUUUUUAGUAUUUCUAUGUAAAUUGAAAACCAGUUUGUUUUAAACACAAUGGUGUCAUUCCAAGAUUUACAUAGCUCCCUUGUGGGGUCUUGCUUUGUCAAAUCAUGCUGGAUUUAAUGAGAUUUUAAAAAAUAUUCCGUCAAGAUGCAAAGACAUGUCUCCAUAAUCACUACAGACAGGAUGCCUUAAAAGAGUUCUUAUACAGGUAUGGUUUACAAAAUUCUUAGUCACACUUACAGAAAGAAGGUGCCUUCUAGGAUGUAAUUAUUUCUGCUAGGCAACAUGUUAACAUACUGUCUAAAAUGAUAGAAAGGGGUGGAUUUUGAUCAAGGAGCUGAAAAAUUAAGUAGAGCAGGACCUCAUUGCUUAUCCACCCAAAUGCAAUAGUUUGCUUCUACUAACCCCACACUCCCCAUCCACCCACUCCCUCCCCUUCCCCUUGGCCACCACAAGGCUGCUCUCCAUGUCCAUUAGUUUGUUUCUUUUCUGUAGAUAGAUUCAUUUCUGCCGUAUAUAUUUGAUUCCAGACGUAAGUGAUAGCAUACAGUAUUUGUCUCUUUCUGACUUAAAAACUUUUAACAUGAAUGUCACGUCGCAACAGAAUAUUGAGUUACAUUUCUUUUAAAAAAAUAAGCCUGUGGUUGACAUCACCAAGGCAGCGCCUUCCACUCUGAGUUUUAUCUCUGAUCAAAGGAUCACAGCAGUUAAGCUAGUUUCUCAGAAGGCAGAGGCAGAGUUCACCUCUGUGCUUCGUAUGAUCCCUCAUGUCCCCACUUCAAUUUGUCCACAUGGACUGGUGAGCAGGCAUUUUAUUUUUGAAAGAUAAGGGUAAUUCCUUAGCUUCUUCUCAUUCUUUUUCAUUCAGUUUUUCCCUCUGUGCUUCAUUUUUCAGUUGCCUUAAUCAACAAAAUCUUCCUCAGUACUUUCCUCUGUAGCAAAACACAUGUAUUUCUGCUAACAAACUGUCAAGUGUAAUUUCCUUCACACAUUAACCUUUUUACAGUUGGAUAAUGAAGUGGUUUAAAGGGCUUGAUUUUAUUACAUUUUCCUGGGUGCAUUUACUUUUGUAACACUCAAAAUAAGAAUGAUACUAGAUUUCAACUUAAAAGCAUCAAUAAUUACUGAAAGUAUAUGAACUUUGGAAGUGCGUGUGUAUGUGCGUGUGUGUGGUGUGUGUGUCUUUAUCAAACUGGUCUCCAAAAGGGAAUGCACCGUUAUUUUCCAGCCUGUGAUCUCAAAUACCACUUAAUGGUAAUACAUUAUGGUUGCACAAAUGAUCAUAUAUUUGUAUUUGUUGUUCUUUGUAUUGGGAUGGCUUCACUCUAUUUCUCUAAAACAUUUCUCUCAAUUUCUCCCUGCUUUAAAAUAGGGUUGGGCAUUCUAUGGAUCCCAGAAGCUGUGGCAUAGGUCUCAGCUGCGGCUCUGAUUUGACCCCUAGCCCAGAAACUUCCAUAUGUCCCAGUUGUGGAUGUGAAAAGAAAAAGAAGUAUGGGUUGUUUUGAACAGUGUGCACGAAUUAUACAGACAGAGAAGAAGAAAACAUUUGAGUGUUGUCUGCUCAUUGUCCUUGGUGGAGCCUGGUGGGCUAGGUGGCAAAUGACACUGCUCUUCUCCUUGGGAGGACAGAAGGUGGGAAGGAGGCAGGCAGGUGGAGACCAGCUAAGUAGCUUCCUCGCUGGCACAUACUGAUGAAUUGGAGGAUGCAGUCCAGACGUGCGGCCACAGUGGGCUCUGAAUAUUCAUCCCCAACUGGGCCCUACCCCUCGCAGGCCUAAGGGGAGGAGGCCUGUCCAAGGGGCAGGCUGCUUACUGCAGGUGUGAGACCCAAGUUCAAGGUGCUCUGGGCAGACACAUCUUUUCAAAGAAGAGACUUGGAACGAAGCAAGCACUCCUUAGUUCCUUCUUCCAGAUUCACCCAUUCGGUAAAUCUCCUCUCCUCUCUCAAGGAGGGUAGAGGGGGGGUGUGUUGUCACUUGGUAACUGUAGGCCAAGGAAAUGAAGCUCACCUAUAAUUUCUGUCUGGAUUUAAACUGCAAUUGGGAUUAAGCUUCUGUCUUUUGUACACAGCAGGUAAUGAUGAGAGAGUGGAGAGAUGGAUGCUAGGUGGUCAAAAGAAAUCUGUUUUGUGUUCUAAAUUUUGCCAUAUAUAACUCCCAAGGGGGAGAAUUCUUUUGUUGAGUCACUUUGGUAAAACAAAUUUUACUUGGAGGAAAUGAAUAUUGUUUUAAGUAAGAAUCUCAGUUUCAGCCAGCUUGUUUCCAUUAAAGAUUUUCUCAAGUUCCCUGUCCUGUGGUUUAAAAAAAAAAAAAAGUGGGCUUUUUUAAAUUGAUUACAUUGAUUGCAUAUAAUAGGAGUUACAGUAAUAAUUUAUUCUUGUUCAUGCCUUUAAAAUGUAACUAAAUUGUCAGAAAGCUACUACUGCAUGUCUCGUGCCACAAACAUCAUUGAGCUACAUGACAGUCAUACGUAUUUAUUUUCUCUAAAUUGUAGUUUAAAAUCUAUGUGUUUUUCCCUAAUCUGAGGAAGUAGCUGGCAUUCAACUCUAGAUUGAGUAAGAGGGCCUUUGGGCUUUGUGACCCUAGGCAAGCUGCAGCCUCUCUGAGCCUUCCUUACUUCUUGUCAAACUAGGGACUGAGUAAAUCAAUGACUUUCCUACCUUAAUUUUUUUUCAAAGAAAAGAACGUUUCUUUUUCUUAAAAAAAAAUAUAUAUAUUUGCAUGAAACUGUAUUAUAUGAAACAGAGACAGGCAUAGAGCUGCUUAGUCAGAGGAGGGAAGGAGACUCAAAGCUGAAGCUUCUCUGUCCCUUAAUCCUACAGUGUCCCCAAGGGGACCUUCCUUUUCUAUGGAACAUAGUUGGGAAACUACAGGUCAGGAGGGACUCCUUCUAGUUAAAAAUCUUUACAGUUAACAAUUUACAGAUAGGAAAACCAUGUAUCUAAUUUUUUUCACUUUGUUUUUGUUAAGUGGAAACGCUUAAAGCAAACUGCAGGUGUGUUCUCUUUAUUAACGUUGGACCUCAAACUACUUCCUUCAUCUGAAUGCCAUCCUCACCUAGACAUCAACAUAAAGGUCUCCAAAGUACAUAUUUAGGAAAAGAGCUUUGGGCAGAAAAGACAGUCAUCUUACACUGAUUCACCAGGAGUUGCAAGAAAAUAUAAGUAGAGAACUAGCAAGAGGUAUGUUGUCAAAAUUUAUGAAUUUACACAUUGACUUCUGAAAUAAACUGUGAACAGUAAAUGGCAUCUCUUUCCAUUGUUUGCAUAACAGAUACUACAUUCAGUAUUUUCUUAUAUCAUGAAAAAUGCGAAAGUGUAAACAUUUCAUAAUGGAAAAAUAUACUUUUUCCUCAUGUUCCAUAGCUUUCCAACAAAUCUCAAACAAUCUGCUAUUUCUUUUCCUUUGUGGCUCUGUCCCUCCUCUUGUCCGCCAUCCCCAUGGAUCUGUCCACCUGCACACUGACACUGAUCUCAGAAAACAUGGUGCUCACCAACUUCUCAAGUUCCAUCAGUGACUAAGGCCAAUCCCAGUCCAUGCAGCUGUCACUUGGUGGGUGACAUUUGAACUUUCUGUCAUUGACUUUGUCAUUGGUUUCUCUUUUGCCCUCAGGAAAAAUUCCAAAUUCCUUAGCAUGGAAUAAAAAUACCCAAGUCUGUUUGGCUCUUGAGGAAGGAUUCAGCCUAUCUCCCUCCUCUGCCCCUUUCCUCUGUCUGGCAUCCAUCAGACAGACAGCUGACAAUUCCAGACAGCUCUGCCUCACCUCUGCCCUUUGUGUUUGCUUCUUCCCUCCAUUUCCCAAACUUCUUCCUGUCCUUCACGCAUCUAUAUCCAUAUCACCUCCACCCAAAAGCUGGCAAUAUUGACACCAAGCUGGAUGUCCCUUCUAAGUGUACCAAUCGUGUCCUCGUUUGUACCUGUCAUAGGACUUAUGACUCUGUAUGGAAAUGACCUGUUCAUCUAUUUUUCCAGUCGAGAGUAUGCGAUUCUUCAGGGUGGCCUGUGUCACCUUCCACUUGUCAUUCCAGUGCUUGUCACAGCAGCUUAGCACCUGGAUGUGGAGUAAAUGAAUGGGGAAUGAGAAAACCGGAAGCUCCGGUACUCAGCCUCAAGAGCAGUUAGCUCAGCAUGUAACCACGGGGACAAAUGGUAAAAUAGUCAUUGCGUAUUUUGGUUGUAGUCGAAUAUGGCUGUUUUUCAUUCUUCUUAACACAUAGAAAGGACUCCACUAUACCAACUUAUAUUUAGUUAACUAGGAAGUAUUUUAGAUAAAGCCAUCCUUUCUUUUUCUCUUCAGCUGCUGCUGAAUUUGAAUCUAGAUCCUACGGAGCUUCUCCUCCAAGGUCUACCGAUGAUCAGCUUGUGAAAGCAUCCCAAGAAUAUGCACAGAUUCUGAAGAAAAAUUAUAUGAUCUGAAAGAUAAACAGUUGUUUUCCAUUAAAACAAAAUGUGAAAAUUUUUAUGAAAGGAAAAUACGUUUGUAUCAUCUGUGUAUGAUGAGAAUGUAUGUAGUAUUUUAUACCAUGUUUCUCUGCAUCUAACUUACUUUUAAGCAGAUUUUGUGAAUAAAAACCAGCACAGUUGAGUUUG